AGAGUUUGAUCCUGGCUCAGAUUGAACGCUGGCGGUAUGCUUAACACAUGCAAGUCGAACGGUAACAUAGGCGCUUGCGCCUGAUGACGAGUGGCGGACGGGUGAGUAACGCGUAGGAAUCUGCCUGGUAGUGGGGGACAACUUGGGGAAACUCAAGCUAAUACCGCAUACGCCCUACGGGGGAAAGCGGGGGCUCUUCGGACCUCGCGCUAUCANAUGAGCCUGCGUUAGAUUAGCUAGUUGGUGGGGUAAAGGCCUACCAAGGCGACGAUCUAUAGCUGGUCUGAGAGGACGAUCAGCCACACUGGGACUGAGACACGGCCCAGACUCCUACGGGAGGCAGCAGUGGGGAAUAUUGNACAAUGGGCGCAAGCCUGAUCCAGCAAUACCGCGUGUGUGAAGAAGG
This 406-nucleotide ribosomal RNA is filed under the name uncultured bacterium. Its description in RNAcentral is "bacterial SSU rRNA". It matches the Rfam family "Bacterial small subunit ribosomal RNA", at positions 8 to 414 of the family's 1533-position model. The record is from RNAcentral.